UCUGGGCUCUAAUAGCUCAAGAGCGUUCAAAUCAAUUCGUGUAAAUGGAGAGAUUACUGUACUCGCUUAUAGCUAUUAUUCUAUCAUACAGCAAAAAGACACUUGUGUGUCGACAAAUACAAAACAUAUAUUUACUGACAUUUAUCUUAACUAUAAUUUCAAAUAAUUUAAAUGCAUAAAAUGUUUGUAGACACUAACAGUGUCCUUUCAUUGCGUUUUGUAGUUAAACCAAGUCCAACAGACACGUACUUUCUUACAAGCCAAUAAAUUAAAACGACGUUGCUCUGUUUCAUCUACACUUAUCGGCAUUUUGUACUAUUCGUUUAAAUAUACCAAGAGAAUGUGAAUGGGUUUUAAUAGAUAUCUUUCAACAAAAUCUUGAUGCUCGAUGUACAAUUAAUAAAUCGCAUUAAAAAAUAUGCAUAUUAGGACAUAUC
RNAcentral lists this long non-coding RNA (437 nucleotides) under Polistes fuscatus (common paper wasp). RNAcentral's name for it is "uncharacterized LOC122523966". Lineage: Eukaryota; Metazoa; Arthropoda; Insecta; Hymenoptera; Vespidae. The record is from RNAcentral.